UACGUAGGGUGCAAGCGUUGUCCGGAAUUACUGGGCGUAAAGAGUUCGUAGGCGGUUUGUCGCGUCGUUUGUGAAAACCAGCAGCUCAACUGCUGGCUUGCAGGCGAUACGGGCAGACUUGAGUACGGGAGGGGAGACUGGAAUUCCUGGUGUAGCGGUGAAAUGCGCAGAUAUCAGGAGGAACACCGGUGGCGAAGGCGGGUCACUGGGCAGUAACUGACGCUGAGGAGCGAAAGCGUGGGGAGCGAACAGG
Molecule: ribosomal RNA, 253 nt
Filed under: uncultured bacterium
Lineage: Bacteria
Description: partial 16S ribosomal RNA
Rfam family: Bacterial small subunit ribosomal RNA
Source: RNAcentral